CGUAGGGUGCAAGCGUUAUCCGGAAUUAUUGGGCGUAAAGAGCUCGUAGGCGGUUUGUCGCGUCUGCUGUGAAAACCCGAGGCUCAACCUCGGGCCUGCAGUGGGUACGGGCAGACUAGAGUGCGGUAGGGGAGAUUGGAAUUCCUGGUGUAGCGGUGGAAUGCGCAGAUAUCAGGAGGAACACCGAUGGCGAAGGCAGAUCUCUGGGCCGUAACUGACGCUGAGGAGCGAAAGGGUGGGGAGCAAACAGGCUUAGAUACCCUGGUAGUCCACCCCGUAAACGUUGGGAACUAGUUGUGGGGUCCAUUCCACGGAUUCCGUGACGCAGCUAACGCAUUAAGUUCCCCGCCUGGGGAGUACGGCCGCAAGGCUA
This 373-nucleotide ribosomal RNA is filed under the name uncultured organism. Its description in RNAcentral is "bacterial SSU rRNA". It matches the Rfam family "Bacterial small subunit ribosomal RNA", at positions 526 to 896 of the family's 1533-position model. The record is from RNAcentral.